This 496-nucleotide ribosomal RNA is filed under the name uncultured bacterium. RNAcentral's name for it is "partial 16S ribosomal RNA". It matches the Rfam family "Bacterial small subunit ribosomal RNA", at positions 29 to 507 of the family's 1533-position model. The record is from RNAcentral.
AUGAACGCUGGCGGCGUGCCUAAUACAUGCAAGUCGAGCGAACGGACGAGAAGCUUGCUUCUCUGAUGUUAGCGGCGGACGGGUGAGUAACACGUGGAUAACCUACCUAUAAGACUGGGAUAACUUCGGGAAACCGGAGCUAAUACCGGAUAAUAUUUUGAACCGCAUGGUUCAAAAGUGAAAGACGGUCUUGCUGUCACUUAUAGAUGGAUCCGCGCUGCAUUAGCUAGUUGGUAAGGUAACGGUUUACCAAGGCAACGAUGCAUAGCCGACCUGAGAGGGUGAUCGGCCACACUGGAACUGAGACACGGUCCAGACUCCUACGGGAGGCAGCAGUAGGGAAUCUUCCGCAAUGGGCGAAAGCCUGACGGAGCAACGCCGCGUGAGUGAUGAAGGUCUUCGGAUCGUAAAACUCUGUUAUUAGGGAAGAACAUAUGUGUAAGUAACUGUGCACAUCUUGACGGUACCUAAUCAGAAAGCCACGGCUAACUACGUG